Molecule: small nucleolar RNA, 67 nt
Organism: Micropterus dolomieu (smallmouth bass)
Lineage: Eukaryota; Metazoa; Chordata; Actinopteri; Centrarchiformes; Centrarchidae
Product: small nucleolar RNA SNORD75
Exons: 1
Source: RefSeq, a predicted model, not a curated record
AGUCGGUGAUGAUUUUAUAUAAGAGUAGUGGACAGAAGUGAUUUCUGAGCAAUUUCAACCUGAGACU